GUGGUAGAGCGGCUGACUGCAGAUCAGCAGGUCCUCGGUUUAAAUCCGGGCGUGCCCU
Molecule: transfer RNA, 58 nt
Filed under: Perkinsus marinus ATCC 50983
Lineage: Eukaryota; Perkinsozoa; Perkinsida; Perkinsidae
Rfam family: tRNA
About the family: Transfer RNA (tRNA) molecules are approximately 80 nucleotides in length. Their secondary structure includes four short double-helical elements and three loops (D, anti-codon, and T loops). Further hydrogen bonds mediate the characteristic L-shaped molecular structure. tRNAs have two regions of fundamental functional importance: the anti-codon, which is responsible for specific mRNA codon recognition, and the 3' end, to which the tRNAs corresponding amino acid is attached (by aminoacyl-tRNA synthetases). tRNAs cope with the degeneracy of the genetic code in two manners: having more than one tRNA (with a specific anti-codon) for a particular amino acid; and 'wobble' base-pairing, i.e. permitting non-standard base-pairing at the 3rd anti-codon position.
Source: Rfam by way of RNAcentral